Molecule: ribosomal RNA, 444 nt
Filed under: uncultured bacterium
Lineage: Bacteria
Description: bacterial SSU rRNA
Rfam family: Bacterial small subunit ribosomal RNA
Source: RNAcentral
GGACCCGCACAAGCGGUGGAACAUGUGGUUUAAUUCGAUGAUACGCGAAGAACCUUACCUGGGUUUGACAUGUUAGUGAAAGUUUUCUGAAAAGAAUUCCCUUUAAGAGCUUGCUCUUAAACACUAUCACAGGUGGUGCAUGGCUGUCGUCAGCUCGUGUCGUGAGAUGUUAGGUUAAGUCCUGCAACGAGCGCAACCCCUAUAUUUAGUUGCCAGCACAUAAUGGUGGGGACUCUAGAUAGACUGCCCGGAAUAACCGGGAGGAAGGUGGGGAUGAUGUCAAGUCAGUAUGUCCCUUAUACCCAGGGCUACACACGUGUUACAAUGGAUAGUACAAAAAGUCGCAAUCCCGCGAGGAGGAGCCAAUCUUUAAAACUAUCCCCAGUUCAGAUUGAAGUCUGAAAUUCGACUUCAUGAAGCAGGAAUCGCUAGUAAUCGUAGGUC